CCUGUGUCUGUCUGUCCUCAGAUCAGGAGCUGGCGGUGCUGCGGGCAGAGAACAGGAAGAACAUGCUGCUGUCGGUGGCUCUGCUGGCUGUCUGUGCUCUGAUCUACUUUUCCCUGAUCUACUGAGCCCAGAGCCCUGGUGCAGCAGGCUGCCAGCUUUUUUGGGGGACCGGCUGCCAUCGGCUUCAACACACUCUGCAACAGAAAGGAGAAGAGGUCGGACGAAGCCCAGCAGUGUCUGCGGUGCUGUGCUGCAGUCUCGGGGCGCUCGGAGAGGGAGGGCAGCUGCUUGCUGCUCAGGGGGAAGGCCAGGACACAGAAGGUCUCACCACCACCCCCCUAAAAGAAUACACAGUCACUGCUGCUCAAUGCUCUGUCCACACUGGCACUGUCUGCAGGUCAGAGCUGAACUGACAUUGCAAGUUCUACCACCAUCUCUCCAUAGUGACGUAGCUCCAUACAGAGUACUACUGACAGUCACAUCUGUGAAUAUAUAAAAUAAAAACAGUGCCAUCA
Lepisosteus oculatus (spotted gar) is the source of this 515-nucleotide non-coding RNA. Lineage: Eukaryota; Metazoa; Chordata; Actinopteri; Semionotiformes; Lepisosteidae. The record is from RefSeq and is a predicted model, not a curated record.